Molecule: transfer RNA, 71 nt
Filed under: Stenocephalemys albocaudata (Ethiopian narrow-headed rat)
Lineage: Eukaryota; Metazoa; Chordata; Mammalia; Rodentia; Muridae
Also listed under: 1 other name
Description: tRNA-Gln
Rfam family: tRNA
About the family: Transfer RNA (tRNA) molecules are approximately 80 nucleotides in length. Their secondary structure includes four short double-helical elements and three loops (D, anti-codon, and T loops). Further hydrogen bonds mediate the characteristic L-shaped molecular structure. tRNAs have two regions of fundamental functional importance: the anti-codon, which is responsible for specific mRNA codon recognition, and the 3' end, to which the tRNAs corresponding amino acid is attached (by aminoacyl-tRNA synthetases). tRNAs cope with the degeneracy of the genetic code in two manners: having more than one tRNA (with a specific anti-codon) for a particular amino acid; and 'wobble' base-pairing, i.e. permitting non-standard base-pairing at the 3rd anti-codon position.
Source: RNAcentral
UAGAAUAUGGUGUAUAGGUAGCACGAAGAAUUUUGAAUUCUUAGGUAUAGGUUCAAUUCCUACUAUUCUAG